Molecule: ribosomal RNA, 253 nt
Filed under: uncultured bacterium
Lineage: Bacteria
Description: partial 16S ribosomal RNA
Rfam family: Bacterial small subunit ribosomal RNA
Source: RNAcentral
UACGUAGGGGGCAAGCGUUAUCCGGAUUUACUGGGUGUAAAGGGAGCGUAGACGGCUGCGCAAGUCUGAAGUGAAAGCCCGGGGCUCAACCCCGGGACUGCUUUGGAAACUGUGUAGCUAGAGUGCUGGAGAGGCAAGCGGAAUUCCUAGUGUAGCGGUGAAAUGCGUAGAUAUUAGGAAGAACACCAGUGGCGAAGGCGGCUUGCUGGACAGUAACUGACGUUGAGGCUCGAAAGCGUGGGGAGCAAACAGG